This 198-nucleotide non-coding RNA is filed under the name Clostridium acidisoli. RNAcentral describes it as "T-box sequence". It matches the Rfam family "T-box leader". From Rfam's summary of the family: Uncharged tRNA acts as the effector for transcription antitermination of genes in the T-box leader family. T-boxes are found upstream of many aminoacyl-tRNA synthetase genes and some amino acid biosynthetic genes usually in Gram-positive bacteria. The record is from RNAcentral. Lineage: Bacteria; Bacillati; Bacillota; Clostridia; Eubacteriales; Clostridiaceae.
UAGAAACCUAUGAAGAGAAUAGUAACAUGAUAAAGCUUUUAGAGAGUCGAUGUUUGGUGAAAAUCGAUAAGGUUUAUUGUGUGAAUCCGCCUCUGAGGGAUUGCGAUGAGCAAUACGGUUUGCAAUAGCCGUUAUUUUAAUUAAGAGGAUCAUUUUAUGAUCAAUUAGGGUGGCAACGCGGAGCCUUUCGUCCCUUUU